Molecule: non-coding RNA, 89 nt
Filed under: Protocruzia adhaerens
Lineage: Eukaryota; Ciliophora; Spirotrichea
Source: RNAcentral
CAGAUUGAUUCAAGCGACGAGUACUCGAUCAAUUUCAGCCCUUGGAGCAAUCCUCUCCAUCUUUAUCACUCUCUUCUUUGUGCCUAGUA